GACGAACGCUGGCGGCGUGCUUAACACAUGCAAGUCGAACGGAAAGGCCCUGCUUUUGUGGGGUGCUCGAGUGGCGAACGGGUGAGUAACACGUGAGUAACCUGCCCUUGACUUUGGGAUAACUUCAGGAAACUGGGGCUAAUACCGGAUAGGAGCUCCUGUUGCAUGGUGGGGGUGGGAAAGUUUCGGCGGUUGGGGAUGGAUUCGCGGCUUAUCAGCUUGUUGGUGGGGUAGUGGUUUACCAAGGCUUUGACGGGUAGCCGGCCUGAGAGGGUGACCGGCCACAUUGGGACUGAGAUACGGCCCAGACUCCUACGGGAGGCAGCAGUGGGGAAUAUUGCACAAUGGGCGGAAGCCUGAUGCAGCAACGCCGCGUGCGGGAUGACGGCCUUCGGGUUGUAAACCGCUUUCGCCUGUGACGAAGCGUGAGUGACGGUAAUGGGUAAAGAAGCACCGGCUAACUACGUG
RNAcentral lists this ribosomal RNA (468 nucleotides) under uncultured bacterium. RNAcentral describes it as "partial 16S ribosomal RNA". It matches the Rfam family "Bacterial small subunit ribosomal RNA", at positions 28 to 507 of the family's 1533-position model. The record is from RNAcentral.